Molecule: ribosomal RNA, 293 nt
Filed under: uncultured bacterium
Lineage: Bacteria
Description: partial 16S ribosomal RNA
Rfam family: Bacterial small subunit ribosomal RNA
Source: RNAcentral
GACGAACGCUGGCGGCGUGCUUAACACAUGCAAGUCGAGCGGUAAGGCCCUUUCGGGGGUACGACGAGCGGCGAACGGGUGAGUAACACGUGGGUGACCUGCCCUUACGCUCUGGGAUAAGCCUGGGAAACGUGGGUCGUAAUACCGGAUAUGACUCCAUAACGCAUGUUGUGGGGUGGAAAGCCUUGUGCGGCUAGGGAUGGGCCCGCGGCCUAUCAGCUUGUUGGGUGGGGUGAUGGCCACCAAGGCGACGACGGGUAGCCGGCCUGAGAGGGCGACCGGCCACACUGGGA